AUGCAUGAUGCGGUUCAUUUCCAGGAAUCUAAAGCAACCAGAGAGAGAGAGAGAGAGAGAGAGAGAGAGAGAGAGAGACGGUCAUGCUUGGCUCCUCGCACGCCAUCCGCGGUAGAGCCAACGCUGGGUUUGGAGAGUUGGCAGCUACGCGAGUGGCAUACAGGGAGCCAGGCAUAUCCCAUUGUUUUCACCUCUUCCUUCCUGCCGAGCCUUCACCUACCUCCCCAUCCAGAAGCUGCAUUGCACGGCGUCAGUCAUCCGUCGAUGUCCGCGCUCACAAACGAGGCCCCCCUCUCAAUGCCGACCUCAGGACACUCUACAUUGUGCGUGUGGAUGGAUGGCGCUACUCAUGGAGAGGAGAGAGAGCUAGCUUGGUAA
Molecule: ribosomal RNA, 378 nt
Filed under: Triticum aestivum (bread wheat)
Lineage: Eukaryota; Viridiplantae; Streptophyta; Magnoliopsida; Poales; Poaceae
Description: partial small subunit ribosomal RNA
Source: RNAcentral